CAAGUAUCUAUUGUAAAUAAUUCCCAUAAAAAGUUAAGACACUUUCGAUUAAGAGAGCUCUGAAAUACUUAUAAUGAAAUAGAGUGAAAUCAAAUGAAAGAUGAAUUUCAUACAUAUGUUGUUGCACAAUUACAAGGUUUAACCAAGGGCAUACCCCUAGUGUACAUCAAUAGAGCAUUAAUAUAAAAGAAAAAUAUUGAAUUUAACGAUAUGAUGGUCGAAUUGAGUUUGAUGUAUGUUUCAAGAUGCUGAGAUUGAUAAACUUACGCUCUAGAGGUAUAUAUUUUAGAGCUCAAUAUGUCCGCUCUAAAAUGUAGAAUUAACUAAUACUAAGUAUAUGUGUCAGGACUUAGUUGGAUUUGAGGUAAAUUAACUCUAUUCAUGUGUAUUAGAGUCUAAUUUGGUUUAAUUUAAAUUUAGUUUGAUUGAACUUUAAAGCUGCGUUUGGUUCGGUUAUAAGUAAGAACUGCUUAUUAUAGGGAUAGGUACAAGUUCAAAAUAUAAGCAGGAACUAGACCAAUUUUACUUUUGGAUGAAAAUUGGAUUGUUCCUAGGAAUAGGGUAAAUAGUAUUUGGAUAGUUAGAUUAGAACUAAGGGAAUACGAGUUAUAAUUUUAAAUUAAAAUUAUUAUCUAAUUAAUUAACAUCAAAAUAUUACUAAAAAAUAAUAAAUUAAUAAUAAUUACAAAUAAUAAUACAAUAAUUAAUAAUAAAUUAAAUAAUUAAUAUUCAUAAAUUAUUAAUAAUUAUAAAUAAUAAUUUAUUAAUAAUUAUAAAUUACAAAUUAUUUAAUUUGUCAUGCCCCGGAUUAUACAUUCUCCGGGCACGCCGACAAAUCCGCCGUAUACAAAGAAAUUUUUCCUGUAUANAAUAAUAAUAAUUAAUUAAUUAAUUAAUUAUAAUUAACUAAUAGUAAAUUAAAUAAUUAAUUAAUAAUUAAUUAAUUAAUUAAUUAUGAAGAAAUUAAUGAUAAAUUAGUUAAUUAUAAAUUCAUAAAUUAAUUAAUAAUUAAUUAAUUAUAAAUUAAAAAAUUAAGUAAUUAUUAAUAAGUAUAAAUAAUAAUAAUUUAAUUAAUAAUUAUAAUAAUAAAUUAAGAAUUAAAUAAUAGUUUAAAUAUAUUAAUUAAUUAAUUAAUACCAUAAUUAAAAUAAUUUUUAGACUUUAAUUAACCUUAUUCUCACA
This 1182-nucleotide long non-coding RNA is filed under the name Ananas comosus (pineapple). Its description in RNAcentral is "long non-coding RNA (ACOM_LNC026066)". The record is from RNAcentral. Lineage: Eukaryota; Viridiplantae; Streptophyta; Magnoliopsida; Poales; Bromeliaceae.